RNAcentral lists this ribosomal RNA (506 nucleotides) under uncultured bacterium. RNAcentral describes it as "partial 16S ribosomal RNA". It matches the Rfam family "Bacterial small subunit ribosomal RNA", at positions 29 to 523 of the family's 1533-position model. The record is from RNAcentral.
AGUGAACGCUGGCGGUAGGCCUAACACAUGCAAGUCGAACGGCAGCACAGGAGAGCUUGCUCUCUGGGUGGCGAGUGGCGGACGGGUGAGGAAUACAUCGGAAUCUACUCUGUCGUGGGGGAUAACGUAGGGAAACUUACGCUAAUACCGCAUACGACCUACGGGUGAAAGCAGGGGACCUUCGGGCCUUGCGCGAAUGAAUGAGCCGAUGUCGGAUUAGCCAGUUGGCGGGGUAAAGGCCCACCAAGGCGACGAUCCGUAGCUGGUCUGAGAGGAUGAUCAGCCACACUGGAACUGAGACACGGUCCAGACUCCUACGGGAGGCAGCAGUGGGGAAUAUUGGACAGUGGGCGCAAGCCUGAUCCAGCCAUACCGCGUGGGUGAAGAAGGCCUUCGGGUUGUAAAGCCCUUUUGUUGGGAAAGAAAUCCAGCUGGCUAAUACCCGGUUGGGAUGACGGUACCCAAAGAAUAAGCACCGGCUAACUUCGUGCCAGCCGCCGCCGUAA